This 440-nucleotide ribosomal RNA is filed under the name uncultured bacterium. Its description in RNAcentral is "partial 16S ribosomal RNA". It matches the Rfam family "Bacterial small subunit ribosomal RNA", at positions 338 to 795 of the family's 1533-position model. The record is from RNAcentral.
CCUACGGGUGGCAGCAGUGGGGGAUAUUGCACAAUGGGCGCAAGCCUGAUGCAGCGACGCCGCGUGGAGGAAGAAGGUUUUCGGAUUGUAAACUCCUGUCUUCAGGGACGAUAAUGACGGUACCUGAGGAGGAAGCCACGGCUAACUACGUGCCAGCAGCCGCGGUAAUACGUAGGUGGCAAGCGUUAUCCGGAUUUAUUGGGUGUAAAGGGCGUGUAGGCGGGAAUGCAAGUCAGAUGUGAAAACUAUGGGCUCAACCCAUAGCCUGCAUUUGAAACUGUAUUUCUUGAGUGCUGGAGAGACAAUCGGAAUUCCGUGUGUAGCGGUGAAAUGCGUAGAUAUACGGAGGAACACCAGUGGCGAAGGCGGAUUGCUGGACAGUAACUGACGCUGAGGCGCGAAAGCGUGGGGAGCAAACAGGAUUAGAUACCCGGGUAGUC